This is a long non-coding RNA of Brassica oleracea var. oleracea, 668 nucleotides long. RefSeq lists it as uncharacterized. The record is from RefSeq and is a predicted model, not a curated record. The transcript has 3 exons. Lineage: Eukaryota; Viridiplantae; Streptophyta; Magnoliopsida; Brassicales; Brassicaceae.
CAAAGGAAGCACAACAAAAUGGCGGAUAUGUAAUGGGAAAGACUACACAACGCCAAACAGGCAAACACUGUCAACAAAGGCACAAAGCCAUUGAAUAUAUGGAAGAAUGGAGAGGUAUAAAAGAGGAGGAAAUGCAGAGGUUAAACGCCCCAUCAGCAACAACCGGAACAUCAAAUGGAAACCCCCACCACAACAAUGCAUCAAGUGCAAUACAUAUGGCGCUUGGAGUAAAGAUAGACAGAGAAGCGGAGUAAGUUGGGUGAAUCGAGACCAUAUGGGAAGGUUGCUAUGGGCGGGAGCCAAGAGCUUUCAGAGACUAGGAUCAACCAAUAUAUAUAUAUAGAAACGGAGGCAGUAGCACUCAAUUGGGCAGUUCAAACGAUGCGAAGUCUAGGGUACAAGCAGGUUGGGAGGCAGAGUCCUCGAAUGGCAUCCACUGCACAAUCAAGAAAAACUUGAGAAAUAUUGCGAGGAAAAUGUUUCAGAUUCAGAAUCAGAAGUAGAUGCUACUUUAAUUACUUGAGCUGCUUCAAUCUCUAAGUCCUGCUUUUGGAUAUCAAAUAGAUGGCUACAAGGAUUAGAGGAUAUAAUAACUAAUAAGCAUCAAAAUAAUAAAGUAGCGGAUGUAAGUACCAGAAAGCUAGAACCUCCAAGAACUCUGUGUCGAU